GAUGAAGAACGUAGCGAAAUGCGAUAAGUAGUGUGAAUUGCAGAAUUCAGUGAAUCAUCGAAUCUUUGAACGCACAUUGCGCCCCUUGGUAUUCCAUGGGGCAUGUCUGUUCGAGCGUCAUUUGUACCUUCAAGCCUUGCUUGGUGUUGGGUGUUUGUCUCGCCUCUGCGCGCAGACUCGCCUCAAAACAAUUGGCAGCCGGCGUAUUGAUUUCGGAGCGCAGUACAUCUCGCGCUUUGCACUCAGAACGACGACGUCCAAAAGUACAUUUUUACACUCUUGACCUCGGAUCAGGUAGGGAUACCCGCUGAACUUAAGCAUAUCAAUAAGCGGAGGA
This 337-nucleotide unclassified non-coding RNA is filed under the name soil metagenome. Its description in RNAcentral is "partial contains 5.8S ribosomal RNA, internal transcribed spacer 2, and large subunit ribosomal RNA". The stretch from base 1 to 120 matches the Rfam family "5.8S ribosomal RNA", at positions 35 to 154 of the family's 154-position model. The record is from RNAcentral.